Molecule: long non-coding RNA, 261 nt
Filed under: Malus domestica (apple)
Lineage: Eukaryota; Viridiplantae; Streptophyta; Magnoliopsida; Rosales; Rosaceae
Description: long non-coding RNA (MDOM_LNC021131)
Source: RNAcentral
CCAUUUUCAACACAACCUUCAUCCAAACACAUCCAUUCAUCUUCACAUCCAUUCCUCCAUACAAACAAACCUUCAAACACUCACCAACAUCUUGUGCCGUAGCAAAGGAAGGGAAGGAAAGUGCUUGGACGUGCUUGCUGUCCAACUUGGAUCGUUGGAGCGUUUAGGUGUUUUCUUUCUUUUGUUUCUAAUGUUUAAAUUCAUUUCCUUUCGUGUUGUUGUAAAUAUGAGUGGCUAAACCCCUUUUGGCUAGGGGUGAUU